This 800-nucleotide ribosomal RNA is filed under the name uncultured fungus. RNAcentral describes it as "eukaryotic LSU rRNA". It matches the Rfam family "Eukaryotic large subunit ribosomal RNA", at positions 24 to 664 of the family's 3401-position model. The record is from RNAcentral. Lineage: Eukaryota; Fungi.
CCCGCUGAACUUAAGCAUAUUAUUAAGCGGAGGAAAAGAAACUAACAAGGAUUCCCCUAGUAAUGGCGAAUGAACGGGGAAGAGCCCAGCACCGAAUCCUGCGGCGUCUCGCCGUUAGGAACUGUGGUGUUUAGGCAAGCCUUUCCGGCAUCUCGAGGCAGUCAAAGUCCCCUUGAGGGGGGCCAUCGCCCAUAGCGGGUGCAAGGCCCAUACGACGUCUCUUGUGUCGGUAGGAGCUGCCGUGGAGUCGGGUUGCUUGAGAGUGCAGCCCAAAGUGGGUGGUAAACCCCAUCUAAGGCUAAAUAUGACCACGAGACCGAUAGCAAACAAGUACCGUGAGGGAAAGUUGCAAAGAACUUUGAAGAGAGAGUUCAAAGGACGUGAAACCGCUUAGAAGCAAACGGACGGAGCUGCCAUUACCUUUGUCGGAUUCAGCCGGUCAGCGGCGAACCAUUGCCUCUCGAUCGCAAGACGGGAGAGCGGUUCAGGUUCGUCGUUGGCUGGUGCAUUUCCGACAAAUGUGCGCUACGACCGACUGGGUAGUCAGCUAAAGGCCACUUGAGUGCCGACUGCGGCUUCACGGUUGCAGUGCCCCAUCUGGUGAGCCCGCUAGAUUUGCCCGGUUGAGUAAACGACCGCACUCGCUCGAGUCUCGACCUGUUCGACUUGGGGUGACCGCACGUCUGGUCGUACACGUACGACUGGGUGUACCCUCGUUUCAUAGUCGGGCAGGAUCGAGAUGGUGCACAUGGUCUGUAGCGUCCGAGUCAGCCAACCAUCCGACCCGUCUUGAAACACGG